Molecule: ribosomal RNA, 681 nt
Filed under: Balsamia aestivalis
Lineage: Eukaryota; Fungi; Ascomycota; Pezizomycetes; Pezizales; Helvellaceae
Description: partial 28S large subunit ribosomal RNA
Rfam family: Eukaryotic large subunit ribosomal RNA
Source: RNAcentral
AAUCUGGCGUCUCCGGCGUCCCGAGUUGUAAUUUGGAGAGGCAUCUUCGGGGGAUAGCGUCAGACUAUGUUCCUUGGAACAGGACGUCACAGAGGGUGAGAAUCCCGUGCCCGCCUGGCUGUCUGGUCCCUUGUGAAGUGCCUUCUACGAGUCGAGUUGUUUGGGAAUGCAGCUCCAAGUGGGUGGUAAAUUUCAUCUAAAGCUAAAUACGGGCGAGAGACCGAUAGCGCACAAGUAGAGUGAUCGAAAGAUGAAAAGCACUUUGAAAAUAGAGUUAAAAAGUACGUGAAAUUGUUGAAAGGGAAGCGCUUGAGACCAGACUCAGCCCCCAGCAAACAGCCUGCCCGUGUCAACGGGCGGCGCACUUGCCUCGGGGCUGGGCCAGCAUCGGUUGGGGUGGCGGGAAAAAGGCGACGGGAAUGUGGCUCCUGAGAAGGAGUGUUAUAGCCCGGCUGCGCGUAAUACCGCCCACCCCCACCGAGGGCCGCGCCACGGCGAGGAUGCUGGCACAAUGGCCUUCAGCGACCCGUCUUGAAACACGGACCAAGGAGUCUAACAUCUAUGCGAGUGUUUGGGCGUCAAACCCUUGCGCGGAAUGAAAGUGAAUGGAGGUGGGACGCGACCCCCUCGGGGGGAACUGCACCAUCGACCGAUCCUGAUGUCCUCGGAUGGAUUUGAGUA